Molecule: long non-coding RNA, 6698 nt
Organism: Felis catus (domestic cat)
Lineage: Eukaryota; Metazoa; Chordata; Mammalia; Carnivora; Felidae
Exons: 2
Source: RefSeq, a predicted model, not a curated record
GAAGGCAGCCGCUCUAAACCAGAUCAUUCCGGUUCGGAGCGGUUCCCCGCUCUACCCCCGAGAGGCUCUCCAAGUAGGCUCUCCAACUAGGCGUGGGCCGCGGACGGCGGCUCCGCGCCCUGAGAUUAGUGGAGAGGGGUCUGGAGGCUACUCCGCACCCCCCGCCCCGGGCUCCACGUCCGCCUGCGCUCUGCCUGCCCGGGCUUCCUCCCCGCCGGUGCGGGGUGUUGGCGGAGCCUUUGUCGUGCGGCCCGGGCUCGCCGGCCUCUGCUCGGCCGUGGUCGGUCGGUCACGACACCAGGGCGCCCGGCGGAGGGUGGGGGAGCGAUGGGAGCCGACGUCCAGCCCCGCUCUGUGACCUGGCCCAAAGCACCCUCACCCUGCCCGCACCGCUGCCGUGGCCUCCCAACCGAGGGCCCCGCUUCCUCUGGCACCCUCCCUCGGCAGCGGGGGGGAUCGGUCCGUCCUCUCUCUGCCUUCCAGCUCCCAGUUGAUCUUAGAAUGAAAACCAGACGCUUUGCCCGGCUCUUCCAUCAUCUGCCCAGCCUGCCUCUCCUUGCUUCCCUGGCCUCCCCUCCCGGGUUCCCGUCCUCCCGCUACGCGGCUUCUUCCCCUUCCAGAAGACGCCAGGGGCCGGGUUUUUGUCUUUGGAAUGCUCUGGCCCCUUGAUGCAGUGGCAUUCUCCCUCAUGUGCUUUCUAGCUCCUGGCGCGCAGUCAUUGCGUCCUCGGGGAGGCUCUCCCUAACUUGUCCGUGUCCGGCCGCUCGUGCUUCUUCACAGCAGCUGACUGGCUCCCCGCUCCCCGCCUCCCAUGGAAGCUCCCUGAAGGCAGGCUUACUCCCCGCCGCCUGGCCCGGCCGGCUCCCGGCCCCGCGCGGGUGCGUACUAAGUGCUCAGUUAGUGAGCGGUCCGAGCGGGCGCGCGCCGGCGCCGACCCCGGCCUGCGCACCGCGCGCUCCCGCCUUCGGGCCGGGGGUCGGGCGCCCCCUCCCGGCCGAGCUCCGCCGGCUGCCGCUGCCCGCCAGGGGGAGGCAGAGAAGCCCCGGGACGCGAGGUCGCGGGCCCGAGGCCGGCGCGCCGCAGGGAGAGAAACCGGCUGCGGGCCUCGCUCGUGCGGGGGAGGCGGCGGCGGCGGCCGGGCCACCCUCGCCGCCAGCCCAGGGCUCCAGGGCCCCGGAGGGCGACCGUUCUGGGGCGGGGGAUUGCAGGCAAGGCCACCCCUUCUCCGGGCUUUGCGGAUCUGGGUAACUCUCUCUGCAGGCACGUCACCGCGCUUGGCUUGCCACCAAGUGGGGGUCAGCCCUCCAGGCUUAACAUUCCAGUACCGCUUUGGCGGGGAGAAACGAAGCAGGGAAAGGCGCGGCUGGCGCUUCAAGGAGGCACAGGCUGGGUGGGCUCCGAGGUGGUGAGGUUGGCGGUGGGGGGAGCAGGGCUGGAGUUCCAGUCCUGGACGCCGCCGGUGCACCCCUAGGUACAGGUCAUUCCCCGCAACGGCCGAGUUACCGUUCUUACGGAUCACCUCUCUGUGGGUGGCAAAGUGGGCCUCUUCCUUUGGGGGGGGGGGGGGCGGGCAAGGGCAGUUGCCAGCAUCCUGAGUCACGAUCUGAUCUUGGCUGUUGCAGUGCACGCUCUCUACCUUUUCCUCCAGGGUGAGGCUCAGGGAGUAAAUGAGACCCCAGAUGCCUGGUGGAGGCCGCAGCAAUUGCCAUGGGCACAGCCACCCUACAGCUCCAGGCCGGGUGUGGGCUCCUGAAAUAGCAAGUGGCCGGAGCUCCCAGCUGUCUCUGUCCUUCUCUCCUUCGCAGCCCUGGGCUGGGCUGGGCUGGGCUGGUCACUGCCCCGUCCGUCUGCCUGAGCUGAGCUCGGCGCCUUCCUUCCUAGGAGAGCUGCGGAGGCCCUCCUGUUAGGCAGACCAUUGGAAAGGAACUCAGACACACUCGUGUGCUUGAGGAUUUGAGAAAAGUGUCUCCCUCUUCCACCAGAGACUUCGAGGCCAGAUCCCAAGGCCUGUGCAGGAUGGGUGGGUUUGCCGGGUCUGCUUUGUGUAUCGCUCAGAAGCCUUCCACGUCCCCUCCUCUCACCGUGGAGUGGAUGACAGAAAAAGCCUCUAAAAUAAUGUAUUAUCUUGCUUGAUUUUAUGAAGGGACAGGAUGGUGAGGAAUGGUCUUCGGGCAACAAUUAAAUCUUGAGACUUUUUUUUUUUUUUUUUUCUCUCCCUCUCCUGGAUUUUUUUUUCUCCCACCGGCUUCGAAGAUUGGCUUUUAAAUCGAAGAUUUCCAAAUACCAGUCAGGCUACCUCUUAAUCCAUCAAGAACUUAAAAAUACUAAUACUCCAGCCCUACCCUUUGAACCACCCAAUUUUUUACGGCCUGAUUUGGUCAGAACGGACCCAGAUUCACAGUAUCCUGAAAAAGGGCUAAAUCGAAAGAGUCAUGAAGGGUUCUGGUUUAUAAAGGAGAGAAAAGGGGGAAAAAAAACGAACAACAACCGUGAACAUACUUGAAAAAGCCAGCAGUCCCUGCUGUGGCCCUCUACAUCUCCCGGGCCACCUUACCACUGUUAGCUCUUUUGGCUGUUUUUGUUUGUGUUUUCUGAUACCUUCCUUUAUGCCUCUAGUCAAUAUGCUAUCCUGGUUAGUGAGACAUUCUGUAUAUUACCUUCCUGCCAUGGAACAUGAGGAUUUAGCUCUCACCUAUGUCACCCCACUUCCCUUGUCUCGUCCUCUUAGUUUCUUUAUUGGUUAAUUUUGUAACUUUUAGUAAAUACUUCGUCUUCAUUUCCUGUACCAUCAACUAUAGAGAGCGAGAACGGUAAAUACCCCAGGCAUGCUUCAAAGCACCUCACACAUUAUUGCAGCCACACAGUAACAAGGACUGAGCCGAGAGCCAAGAGCUAACCAAGCCUUGGUUCUCCAGCUCUCCAGGCCAUCUCCUUCCAGCACUGUACUGAGGUAGCCGCUAGCUACGCGUAACAGCUUAUACUUACAGAAAUGAAAAUUAAAUGGAACGAAAAUUGUAGUUCCUCGGUCGCACUAACCACAUCUGAAGUGCUGAAUAGCCAGUGGCUACCACAUACUGGACAGCGCAAAUAUAGAACAUUUCCAUCACCGCAGGAAACCAUUGGUUUUGCGCUGCUCUGGAAGCUGGGCCUUUUAUCUGAAGGUAAGUAUGGAAACUGGAUGGUUUUACCAGUGUCGUCUCCCAUCAAGCAAUUACUACCAAAGAUUAACUGCAAGAGAAUUGUGGUCCUACUGUUCGGUUAUAAGAGCUUCGUAACAGCAUUUUGACAAACUAGAAUCUUACACGUGUAACUGGAAGAACAAAACCACCCAAACCAACUAAGCCACUGAAACCUCUUCCCACCCAAGCUAAGACGGGGCUUAACUAAGAACCGAAUUAGGUACCAACGAGAGUUCAUUUCAAAGCUCUGGCUGGUCUAAAGUCUAAAAGGCCCAGGGUCCGCUUCUUGGCCCUGAUGGGCCUCAGGGGAGUAUCCUUCAGAAGACGUAGGAGAAAUAAAGCAAAGGAAACGAGAAUGCUCUGCGUAAUGAAUGUGCUCUGCGUAUUAACUGUAACAUGGGCUGGGAAGCCCUAUAAGUUAGGGGGUAGAAAUUGUUACGUUUUCCUCUGGUCGAUUUAUGGCAGAAUAUCGAAGAUUACUUGUCCCAGGAAGGUAUAUUUGAUCCAACAGUUUGUCGAUGGAAACACUGAAAACUAAGAGGCAUAUGUGCGAUUCUGGACGAGAGACCUUCAAAGUGACCAGACUUGGGAGUGUCCACACCUACACCGGACUUCAGAGCCUGAAGAAAAGCACUGCUGGGAGAGGGAUCCUAGCAGAGGGCGAAGCGAUACAAAGCAGAGGUUUUGGAGAAAGAAGCAUCUGGAAGACCGAGGCAAGAACCAGGAACUGUGGUUUCAUCCCCAAAGGACCCCCGGGGGAGGGCUCAGCUCCUCCUGGGGUUUUUUCCUUGACUCAGAGACAGUUGUGACUCUGUAUGUAAAGAUUCACAUCUUCCCUUUGAAUUCCCUGUAGCUCCUCCAACUCUUCAGAAAAGCCUUGAGACAUCCGUACAGACUUGGCUAGUGGGAGUUUGGGGAAUAUACAGAACGGGACAGGAAAAGGGAGUGUGGUCUGCCCCACAGUCACUCGCUCCCUUGCUGGUGUCCUGAGGGGAAGAGCGUUCUGUUGAGGGGACGGUUGUAGGUCCAGGAGUCCCAGAUGGUGAGCAGAGAGAGGGACCCACAGCAGGCGGCGGUGGAAGGCAGAUGACUCACAGAUAUUAAUUACGGAGAAAAGUGCACCCUGGUGGGUGGGAAAGGGGUGGCGGAGGCGGGCAGACUGAUGCUUACGUCACAGAGGUGAGCUCGCAUACACGCAAAUCACCGUCCCACAAUCAAGGUAGCCUUGAGCCAAAUAGAUUUGGAUAAGAUUUAUUGAUCAGAUUGUUUUAGAAAACCAACAACAAAACACUGACAAGGUACAUAAAUACAGAUUGGACAUUUUAGGGUAAAUUCACUAUUUUUCCUACGUGCUCGUAGGAGACCAAAUAAGGUGGAAAAGCUGUCCUGAUCAUAUGGCAUGCACACCAGACUGCAAAAGGACUUCCACACUAUUUAACAGGACUGUGGCAAAUAGCUUUACAGUAAGGCAAGCAUCGUGUGUGGCCUAAGCACACCCUGUACAAAGAGCCAAGCCCAGGCCUGCCCUCAGAGACUGCGGGAGAGGUUCCCCUUUCUUGCCUAGGUUCUUCCAGUCAAAUCCUCAUCGGCAGGUGCCUUUACAGGGAAAUGCCUGGCGCGGUCCCUGCUCAGACUCUGUGUACAAGGAAGCGGCUUCAGAGAAAGUCAGUGUGUUUCUGAUGCCUCCUUUGUAUUCUAAAUGUGCAACUAGGAAAACAGCAAUCACUACAGCUCGGUGAGACUGCCUCGGACUCACCCUGCGCACUGACUAAGCAGGGCCUUUCAAAAACUUCUAUCGAGUGAAAAAAAAUAAAAUCAUGAAAAUUACAACUAAAAAGAUGGGACCACUUUCGAAGCACAACUCAGAACUCCUUUUUGUAACACCAGGUAAGAGAAGAGGUCGCCUCCCACCAAACCCAGUGACCUCAGAAGGGAAGCAGCAUCACUGGGCACGACCCGCGGCGGCACACACGGGAGGUACAGAGCUCUACGAAGCCGGCCUCAGGCCCUGCCAACGCCCCUAGAGUCCCGAGGAAUUUGGGGAACCAAAGCACUUUAAGCUAACAGUGACCAGUUUUUGGAGCUCGCGAUCACGGGACCGUAAGCCCUCAUCCGCCCUGGAGCUCAACGCCAGAACAAUGAAGAAUAAGGAAAACGGCUUCUUGUGCUACAUCAGAGUGCUGGCAGGUAGACGAUUUAUAGUAACGGUGCCACCUGCUAAACAUCUGUAAGACCACAUAAAAACAAACUGGUUUUACAGAAUCAAGACCAACACAGACUUACAGGGUAAUUCAACCUUUUCCCACAUGCCAAGCUAUAUGGCUGGAAAAGGAAUCCCCAAAGGAAAAAAUAAGGCUCCUGCAAGAACAGAGGAAAAGCAAGUGUUUGUCAAGAGCCAAAGAAAUGUGUUCAAGUGAUGGGAUUCCCUCUGCAUCACACACAGCAGCUUUUUCUUCCUCUAGGUGCUAAGAGUUCUUUGGUGGUUAUAGGAGAGACAGCCCAGAACUCAGGGCAGGAAAACCGUGCCGGAGCAGAGGAGUGAAGAGUUAACAUCUCAACUCAGGAUUACCACCCGUGGGUCCUAAUUUCAGCAUUCAACAGCUGUCAUCAAAUUGACAAUUACAGCUAAUAGGGCUGCCUAUAUGCUUGCUGGUUUCUAGCCCUCCGUGACUCUUCGUUUUCAUUUCUAACUACUUAUUAGCCCUACUCCACUGAGAAGGAGGUGCUUGUGGGAAAGGGGUAAGGAGGAGGAAGAAUAUAAAUGGAUCGAUCGUUUGAUAGAAAAGUUGAAACACUGAUUAUCUAUGAGUUUCAAUUAUCUGUGCUUUACUCUUGCUACUCUGGGUAACCAAAGGUCACUGUUAAUAAACCUUUUGCUUAGAAAUGUUAAUGUUUAUCAUCAUAUGUUUAAAUCUAGCUAUGUGAUGGACAUGAAUAAUUUAGAGCAAAUUUUUACACCAUGUCACGAGGGCCCUGAAAAAAGACUCUGCCAGUGGAAAGGAUUUCAGUUUGGCCCCUGAAGAACAGUGAAAAUUUCAUUCUAUUCUAUAUUGGUUAAUAAGAUUUUCCAGAAUGUGGAAAAUAUUUUAUUAAAUGAAGAAAGCCUCAUUCUCUUUGUUUAAUAAAGUCUUAUAUUCACAGAUAAAUUAGUAUGUACAUGGGAAAGCUGACAGUAUUAAAUAUUAGAUUUUAAUUCUCCAUUUAGAAAUUCCUUACAGGUAGACUUCCUUUUUUCGUGGGCAAGAAAUGUAGUAAGAUAUGCAAACAUGAGAUAGUACAAAAGAUGACUGGGGGAAAGUCUCAACUCUAACAAACCCAAGGAAUAAGAAGUCUUUAAGAACUGGAGUAAGAAAACAAGGACUUGAAAACCCAGAUUGACCAAGAGUUGGCUUACGCUAGCUGGUCACAUCUCAAAUUCUUGGUAUAAGUUGACUCUAAAGGAAUGAGCUGGCUUUCCCCAAGGCAGAUUCAAAAAAAAGAAAAAAAAAAAAAAGUAGUCUACCUGCUUUAUAGUUACAC